GGAGAGGUACCCAAGAGGCUGAAGGGGUCGGCUUGCUAAGCCGAUAGGGGGAUCUACAUCCCCGCGAGGGUUCGAAUCCCUCCCUCUCCGCCA
This 93-nucleotide transfer RNA is filed under the name Candidatus Saccharibacteria bacterium QS_5_54_17. Its description in RNAcentral is "tRNA-Ser". It matches the Rfam family "tRNA". Rfam says of the family: Transfer RNA (tRNA) molecules are approximately 80 nucleotides in length. The record is from RNAcentral. Lineage: Bacteria; Candidatus Saccharimonadota. RNAcentral also lists the same sequence under 1 other name.